UCCCAUGUGGCUAAGUUGGUAGAGCAUGGUGUUUGCAACGCGAGGGUUGUGGGUUCGAUUCCCACGGGGGAC
RNAcentral lists this transfer RNA (72 nucleotides) under Salmo salar (Atlantic salmon). It matches the Rfam family "tRNA". Rfam says of the family: Transfer RNA (tRNA) molecules are approximately 80 nucleotides in length. The record is from Rfam by way of RNAcentral. Lineage: Eukaryota; Metazoa; Chordata; Actinopteri; Salmoniformes; Salmonidae.